This 718-nucleotide long non-coding RNA is filed under the name Lupinus angustifolius (narrow-leaved blue lupine). RNAcentral's name for it is "long non-coding RNA (LANG_LNC002644)". The record is from RNAcentral. Lineage: Eukaryota; Viridiplantae; Streptophyta; Magnoliopsida; Fabales; Fabaceae.
AUAAAUGAUGAUUCCCUUAUUCCUUUAACUCAUUUCAAUAUAGAAAGUUUUAAUUUUCUCAUUCAUGAUUCUUUCAUACUUCUUGAUUCAUCAAGAAGUUUUCUUUUCCAUGACUCCUACCAUUUUAAGAUGGUAUCAGAACAAUAAUUAUUGUUUUGAUGCUUCUGCUUAUGUUUCUAUCAUUCCUAGAUUCAAUAAUCAUCACCAUUAAAGGAGUUUUUGUGCCUAACUACUUGCCUUAAUUGUCUGCAACUUUCUAUCUAGUACCUUGUUCAAGGGGAAUGAGUGCAUCUUGUUCUAUGAUACAAUCUUUUUUUCUUCUUCUGACUUUGUGAGCUUUUGAUGCUUUAGACUUGCUCUUUCAUGAAUCUACACAAUGAAAGGUGAUUCUAUUUCUUCUUACCACCUUAAUUUGCGAUGUGACUUUCACUCCUCUUUUUCAUCUUUCACGGAAGAAGAAAGAUGAUAAUAAAAGAGAAUUGGGUGAAAUAAGUGGAUUGGGUUCUUCAGUUGCAAAGUGAUAGGGCCCAGAGCCGAGAGGAAGGCCCAAAUGGCAGCAUGUGACUCCGAGCUGGCAGAAGGAGUUUGUUAUGAAUUAACCUUUAAAAUAUUCCACUUUUUUGUUAAGCAAUGAUUACCUUUUGUUAGAUCCUGCCACUUGUAUGGUAGGGAUCCUUUACUAAUUCCUAUAUAAUUAUGUAAUGAACCAUUUUGGAGG